UUCGCUUAUGUUUUCGAUUGUUGUUUAUUAUUGGACACCAUAAACUAUUUCAGUUUGUUUUGAAGCCUAGUCAAACUUUAAACAACUAAAAAUGUACGCAAAAUACAGCAAGAUGGUCGAUCGCCAGCGACAGCAAGAAGAAAAAGGCGGACCAACAAUAGAGGAAGUUUCAGAAGAAAACAAAGUUUCAGAGGGAAAAAAAGAAACGGAAAACACAGCCACCGAUCAGGUGGACACAUCUGCACCAUCAGAUUCGGCAGCUGCCACAGAGAAGGCACAAGAGGAGGAGAAAGGCACUGACGCAAAAGAUGAAACCGGAAGAGAAGAACCAGUGGCGGACGCUGAGAAAAAAUUAAACCUUGAUGAACUGUGGCAGCGGUUGUGCAAUCCACCGACAGAAUGCCAUUCUCUCUUGAAAAAUAAUUUAACUCAGGAGAUAUUCGAUGAACUCAAAGAUAAAGAAACGCGAUUCAAAGGGAGAUUGGAGGACUGCAUUCGGUCGGGAUGCGAGAACACAGACAGCGGUGUGGGCGUCUACGCCUCAGACCCCGAAGCCUACACGACCUUCGCUCCUCUGUUGGACGCCGUCAUCAAGGACUACCACAAGGUCGACGCUCUGAACCACCCCAACCCUGACUUCGGAGACACCGACAAGCUCCAGUUCGGAGACCUUGACCCCUCCGGCGACAUGAUCGUGUCCACCCGUGUGCGAGUGGGCCGCAGCCACGACAGCUACGGCUUCCCUCCCGUGAUCAGCAAGGAGGAUCGUGUUGACAUGGAGAAGAAGACUGUCGCAGCCCUCGCCAAACUUGACGGUGAGCUUAAGGGCAGCUACCACCCUCUGACUGGCAUGAGCAAGGAAACCCAGACACAGCUCACUGAAGACCAUUUCCUCUUCAACAACAGUGACAGAUUCUUGGAAGCUGCCGGCGGCUACAAAGACUGGCCCACUGGACGUGGAAUCUACUUCAACGACAACAAAACUUUCCUGGUCUGGGUGAACGAGGAGGACCAUCUGCGUUUCAUCUCUAUGCAAAAGGGAGGCAACCUGAAGGAAGUCUACGUCAGACUGGUCAAGGCUAUCCGUGCUCUGGAGACCAGUGGUCUGUCGUUCGCCAAGCGCGAUGGUCUCGGCUACCUCACCUUCUGCCCAUCCAACCUGGGCACCACCCUGCGUGCCUCAGUGCACAUCAAGAUCCCCAAGCUGGCUGCCACCCCAGACUUCAAGGCUUUCUGCGACAAGCUGAACAUCCAAGCCAGAGGCAUCCACGGAGAGCACACCGAGUCUGUCGGCGGCGUCUACGACAUCUCCAACAAGAGGAGGCUGGGACUCACUGAGAUCCAGGCCAUCGAAGAGAUGCGCAAGGGCGUGGAGGCUGUCAUCGCCGAGGAGAAGAAGCUUGCCGGAAAGUAGAGCUCCUCACGCCCUUCCUCCUCCUGUUUUGGGUCUCUAUUUCCUUACCAACGACCUUUCCAUCCCUUUACCCCCCCCCAACCCUCAAUCGUACCGUCAGAGCUUAGUGCACGCCACAACACGACUUGUACAUAGUAAUUGGUUUAGCCGCUGAGACAACACGCCAGUGGUCUAUAUAGCUCCUUGACUGCUUCGGGCCCCUUAAUCAGUGGCCUUUUCGUCACUCGACAGAAUUUUGACAAAUUUAUUCUGUCCUGUGAUUAGAAAAAGACCAGGUUUUGAAGCAGCCAAAACAUAAGUUAUUAUAAAUCUGUUUCAUUUUCUCGAAUUCUUACAAGAUGUGUGACUGAAAAACAAAAAAGAAAAAAAAAUAUGACAAAAAAUCCACAGUGCACGGCAGCUCGGUUUGGGCAGUGUUUUUGCUGUGAUUGGUUCAGUAGCACUCUCUAGACUUUCUUGGUGCUAGAGUAGAGGUGCGGUCAGAGUUCACACCAUUUGCUAGUGGUCGUGGAUUCCCCGACCCCUACCCUACCCAGUCCCUCUCACCUUUUAGAGUGAGAAAGGUCACGGGAGUUAAGUUACUCGCUAACAGCAUCGUCAGUGCGCGACCAGGCCUGGGCUGUUUGCGACGUGCGUUGAAACUAUUAUUAUUUUUGUAAAUCUCAAUAUAGAAUAACAAAUUUUUAUUCAAAAUCUGUUGUUCUUGUCUUGACAUUCAUCAAGAAAACACAAUAUGAGACAUAUCUGAUGUGAUAAAAAGAAUGUGUGAUAUGUUUACUUUUAGACUAGUUCAGUAUUUCAUGUAGAACUGCAUUCAUGGUGGUAACAACAACAUUGACUUUUGAAAUGUCUUAGAUUUCACUGUGAAUGACAAAGAAUGAUUUUGGGACACAUGAAGCCACGAGUAUAGUGGAACAAGUGAAACGAGCAUUCUUGAAAAAGGCAUCUUGAUACUUAAGCGGUGACACUUACGAUUCCCAAAGCCAAAAAUUGGUAAUCGGAAGGUAACGACAAGUUGUGUAUGUUAACAACAGAUUAUUUUUUUUAAAAACCCUUCUUUUUGUCACAGUUCCUGUGAUACGAGAGAAUGAGAAAGAAAGAAACAACACCAAAGUGAAAUGUGUACCCUCUGUGCCACCCGAAAUGAUUAAUGAAAACGAUCAAUAAAAACAUGUUUGAAAUAA
RNAcentral lists this unclassified non-coding RNA (2598 nucleotides) under Aplysia californica (California sea hare). RNAcentral describes it as "arginine kinase Oct f 2, transcript variant X2". The record is from RNAcentral. Lineage: Eukaryota; Metazoa; Mollusca; Gastropoda; Aplysiida; Aplysiidae.